UGUGGUGACGGUAGGUAGAUAAGAAGCACCGGCUAACUACGUGCAGCAGCCGCGGUAAUACGUAGGGUGCGAGCGUUGUCCGGAAUUACUGGGCGUAAAGAGCUCGUAGGUGGUUUGUCGCGUCGUCUGUGAAAUCCCGGGGCUUAACUUCGGGCGUGCAGGCGAUACGGGCAUAACUUGAGUGCUGUAGGGGAGACUGGAAUUCCUGGUGUAGCGGUGAAAUGCGCAGAUAUCAGGAGGAACACCGAUGGCGAAGGCAGGUCUCUGGGCAGUUACUGACGCUGAGGAGCGAAAGCAUGGGUAGCGAACAGGAUUAGAUACCCUGGUAGUCCAUGCCGUAAACGGUGGGCGCUAGGUGUAGGGGGCUUCCACGUCUUCUGUGCCGUAGCUAACGCAUUAAGCGCCCCGCCUGGGGAGUACGGCCGCAAGGCUA
RNAcentral lists this ribosomal RNA (433 nucleotides) under uncultured Corynebacterium sp. Its description in RNAcentral is "bacterial SSU rRNA". It matches the Rfam family "Bacterial small subunit ribosomal RNA", at positions 465 to 896 of the family's 1533-position model. Lineage: Bacteria; Bacillati; Actinomycetota; Actinomycetes; Mycobacteriales; Corynebacteriaceae. The record is from RNAcentral.